AACGAACGCUGGCGGCGUGCCUAACACAUGCAAGUCGUGCGAGAAAGUUCCUUCGGGAGCGAGUAAAGCGGCGCACGGGUGAGUAACACGUAGGUAACCUGCCCCCCAGUCUGGAACAACUAGAGGAAACUCUAGCUAAUGCCGGAUGAGACCACGAUCCCUUCGGGGGUUGCGGCCAAAGAUGGCCUCUACUUGUAAGCUAUCGCUGAGGGAUGGGCCUGCGGGCCAUUAACUUGUUGGUGAGGUAACGGCUCACCAAGGCUGUGAUGGCUAGCUGGUCUGAGAGGAUGACCAGCCACACUGGGACUGAGACACGGCCCAGACUCCUACGGGAGGCAGCAGUGGGGAAUAUUGCGCAAUGGGCGAAAGCCUGACGCAGCGACGCCGCGUGGGUGAUGAAGGCCUU
RNAcentral lists this ribosomal RNA (406 nucleotides) under uncultured bacterium. Its description in RNAcentral is "bacterial SSU rRNA". It matches the Rfam family "Bacterial small subunit ribosomal RNA", at positions 29 to 418 of the family's 1533-position model. The record is from RNAcentral.